ACGGCCAUAUCGUGUUGAACCACCGUUUCUUGUACGAUCACCGAAGUUAAGCAACGUCGAACCUGGUCCUUACCUGGAUGAAUGACCGCUUGGGAAUACCUGGUGUU
Non-coding RNA from Acanthosepion pharaonis, 107 nucleotides. NCBI's taxonomy places the organism in Eukaryota, Metazoa, Mollusca, Cephalopoda, Sepiida, Sepiidae. The record is from the annotation of a GenBank genome assembly.